AGUUUAGCUAUUGGAUGGGAGGACACAUCCAAAAGGGUGAAAUUACGGACGCUAACAUGGCAGACUUAGAAAAAUGUUAUGGAGAAGUUGAAGAGAAGUAUGAUGUGGGACCUGAAANAGCA
Non-coding RNA from Parasteatoda tepidariorum (common house spider), 122 nucleotides. NCBI's taxonomy places the organism in Eukaryota, Metazoa, Arthropoda, Arachnida, Araneae, Theridiidae. The record is from RefSeq and is a predicted model, not a curated record.